This 4728-nucleotide small RNA is filed under the name Pan troglodytes (chimpanzee). Its description in RNAcentral is "retained intron". Lineage: Eukaryota; Metazoa; Chordata; Mammalia; Primates; Hominidae. The record is from RNAcentral.
CUCGGUGCUCAUAAUCACCCCACGGCCCCAGGACCACGGCACCAACCUGACCUGUCAGGUGAAGUUCGCUGGAGCUGGUGUGACUACGGAGAGAACCAUCCAGCUCAAUGUCACCUGGAAACAAGAGACCAGAGCAGGAGUGGUUCAUGGGGCCGUUGGAGGAGCUGGUAUUACAGCCCUGCUCGCUCUUUGUCUCUGCCUCAUCUUCUUCAUAGUGAAGACCCACAGGAGGAAAGCAGCCAGGACAGCAGUGGGCAGGAAUGACACCCACCCUACCACAGGGCCAGCCUCCCCGGUACGUUGAGGCCAACAGAUCAGGAGAUGAUGGCCAUUGAAAAGAUAGUUUCUUGGCCGGGCACAGUGUUUCACACCUGUAAUCCCAGCACCUUUGGAGGCCAAGGCGGGCGGAUCACGAGGUCAGGAGAUCGAGACUAUCCUGGCUAGCAUGGUGAAACCCCGUCUCUACUAAAAAUACAAAAAAUUAGCCAGAUGUGGUGGCUGGCGCCUGUAGUCCCAGCUACUUGGGAGGCUGAGGCAGGAGAAUGGUGUGAACCCGGGAGGCAGAGCUUGUAGUGAGCCGACAUAGCACCACUGCACUCCAGCCUGGGCGACAGAGCGAGACUCUGUCCCAAAAAGAAAAAAAAAAUAGUUUCUUAUUCACCGUUCCCGAGAGGGCACACCACACCAUGCAAGGCCAAAUGGAGAAGCACCAGGGUCAGUCAGGAAGCAGAGGGAGCAAGGAGAAAAUGGGAGAAGAGCCUUCACUGUGGCUUUCAUGGAAAAGAAUGGGCAAGACAGGGUAAGCAAGCUAGGCAGGUUUAGGAUUGGCUACUUAGAACAAUUUCAGCAGACUCUGGGGUAUAGGAGUUGUCUCUAGUUGUCUGGUACAUGGCCCUGGGUUUAUUAAGGAGGAUUGUGGUCUGGAGUGUAAGAGCUCAAUAAAGGAUCCAGCUGGUAGUGUGGGCUUUAGAUUGACUGGUUUGCACAUGAAAGGUGCACUUGUAUGCAAGUCCUUUAUUAGCUCUAGAAAUCUACUAUCCUUGGGAAAGGCAGUCUCUCAAGGGUCAGCAAUGCCCCAGAUGUCAAAACAUCAGAAACACUUGGUUGACACACCCCUAAACAUACUUCUCCUGAUGGGUUCUCCAUCUCACUAAUGGCACUCUUGUCCCCAUUACCCAACCACAGACAUGGCCCCCUCCUGUCCCAGUCCUCCAUCUCUUCCUGUGCCAGUAUGCUACGAUGCAUGUCUGAGCUUCCUCUGAACAUGGCUUAACACAACCACUCCUUCCGAGCCGAGAGCCCCUCUUACUCCUUAUUCUGCUGCAGCCUCACCUCCCAUUUCUCCUCUCCAGAACAUUAGCAUCACCUCCCUAAAAGGUCAUUGUCCCAUCAUUCCCAAGUUUGAAAUGCACUGCUUCUCUAUACUCCUGAAAGAUUGGCAUUCCAACAACUUGGUCUGGCAUUUGGAGCAGGAAAACCAGAGUCCCCUUCAGUGCUAUGCUCCCCCAACAUUAGCCACUCAAUCACCUCAAGCAGGGCAAGCUUUUUCAUCUCAGAAUCAUUGCUGGGCUGUCCCCUCCUCCUCAUAUGCCUAAUAGCUACCUGCCCAACUCCAGUGCAUCCUUCAAGCUCUGAUUUUUUUUAAUUUAUUUAACUCUGACUAAAGUGAACACCACAGUAAAGUUUUUGAACACAGGGUCAACCAGCACCCAUUCAUUCUGAAAUAUCUAUAUAAUCCCAUUUGCCAAUUGCUCUAGGUCCUUGUGCCAUUCUGUAUUUUUAUAAACACACAGUUUACAAAUAUAAAAUAUUCCUCCUAUCGGGGGCUUAACAUUUAUUGGGGAAAGGGAUGAAAAUAAUGAACAAAUAAGUAGUGCAAAUAUACAUGAAAUAGGCAUGAAAUAAGUGCUAUGGCAGGAAAUGAAAUGGGAGAACGGAUUGGACAGUCCUGGGGGCCACAGAAUGGCCUUUGGGCAAACACCUGCAGAAAGAAAGUGAGUACAGUAUGAGCAGUAGAGAAUCAUCAAGGAAGCAGCAAGUACCAUGGCUCUGAGGCUGGAACACAUCUGAUGUUUUAGAGAAACAAAGUAGGACAGUGUGGAUAAGGCAGAGUUACGUGUUGGGGGUGGAGUGUGGACUGAACAAUGGUAGGUAGGAAAUGAAGUUGAAGAGACAUAGGAGCUGCAAAUAUUGCAGGAUCCUAAGUCCAUCAUAGUUAUUGAUGCGUUUAGAGCAGAAGAGUGACAUGAACUGACACUCAUUUUAGUGGGAGUCACUCUGGCUGCUCUGUGAGAAACUCUAGUAUGUAGUAUAGAAGAGAAGAUACCAGAAUAGAAGAUACACAGAUAAUCAAGCCAAGAGAUGACUGACUCAGACUUAGUCCCAAGUAAGAAUAAUGAAUCUGAUGUGGAGAAAUUGGGUUCUGGAUACAUCUUGAAGGUGGAGUCAACAGUAUUUGCAAGUGGAGUGAUGGAGUGCAUGCAAGGCAUGAGCAAAGAUAGCUCAUGGGCUCUGCUCGAUAAGUGUCUCAGAUGUCAUAGGUGGGUCCACAGAUAUCAUAGAUGUCAUGGAUGUCCAAGAAGACCCCAUAGAUGUCAUAGAUGUCUAUAGAUGCCAAUGAUGAUGUUCAUGUGGUUAACUCAGAAUUCAUACUUAAAAAAUCAAAUUGCCAAUGAUUAAAAUUGCCAUCCUUGAAGGAGAAGUCUAUUUUCAAGUGUAUAUCAAACAUUAUUUUGGUUACCGUAAGUUUGAGGUGCCUCUGAGACAUCCAUGUGGAGAUGACAAGUAGCAGGCAAGUGUCUGGAGCUCAGAAGACGGAUCCACGUGGGAGACACAGAGGUUGGGAGCUUCCCUAUCAACAUCCAAUAAUCGAUGAAUCUACAAAGAAGAGAAGGGGUCCACAGACACAGCCCUGGAACCCUCCAGCAUUUAAUGUUAGGGAGAUGAGGUGUAAAUGGUGAGAAAGCUGAGAAUGAAUAGGAGCCAAUGACCAGGAAAUUGCAGGCUGUAGUGUUGGUGGCCAAGGGAAGAUGGGGCUUCAUGGAGGAGAGGUUGGUCAUUUGUUUCAAAUGCUGGUAAGUCUGGUAAGAUGGAAUCUGAGAAAUGGCUAUUUGAAUGUAGCUAAGUGGUAUGACAGCAAAGCAGAUCUGAUUUUUCUGCUGGAGGAAGAUCUCUUGACUAGAGAGAGUUCAAGAGAGAAUGGGAGGAGAAGAGGCAGAAACUGUGAGUUGAAGGACUCUUUUGAGAAACACUGCCUCAAAUCUAGAACCAAGAAAUGGGCCUGCACCAGCAAAUGGUUGUACCCUGUAGACUUGCCAUUUCUCCAGCAUCUGCUCCUGUGUCUCUUAUGAUACCAUGUUCCCUGUUUGUGUAGGGCUUUGCACCACUUGAACUAACUGCAUUCCCAUAGCUUCCCCUACCACACCAUGAGCUCCACAAGGAAAAGGCUGGGUUUUAUUAGACCUCCAUCAUUCUACUCUCUCCUGUUCAUCUGCACACUGUCACAAUUUGCAAUUACCAGUCUGUUUCUGUCUUCAUCCCCUGCAGUACUGGAAAUCACAGGGCCCCUGCUCUGCUCUGAUCCCUCCUGAGGAUCCAGUGCCCAGCACAUAGGAGGUCCCAGAGACCUGGGACCGAGUUCAGGGUCAACAGAUGUGUGACUUUGGAAAUUACCUAAGCUCUCUGAGACCUAGUUUCCUGGUCUGUAAAAUGGAUUAAAAUAAUAGAUGCCAAAGACGAUGUCAGUGUAGCUGCCCAGAAUUUUUCCACAUUAGUCUCUGUGAGUAUUCAAGAGAAUUGGGAAUCAAUCAAUACGUGCUACAUGUGUUAGAUAAUGAAUAAGUAGAGCCUUAAUUAAUUAACAUUUGAUGAAAGAAUGAAAGAGUGAAUAAAUGUUCUGUCAGAGUCAAAUUUACUUCAUUGACCCUCUUUGCCUUCUCCUGGUCCCCCUCCUCACUGCCCUGCUCUAACCCCCUUCUUUCCUCUCCAUAAGAAACACCAGAAGAAGUCCAAGUUACAUGGCCCCACUGAAACCUCAAGCUAUUCAGGUGCCGCCCCUACUGUGGAGAUGGAUGAGGAGCUGCAUUAUGCUUCCCUCAACUUUCAUGGGAUGAAUCCUUCCAAGGACACCUCCACCGAAUACUCAGAGGUCAGGACCCAGUGAGAAACCCACAAGAGCAUCAGGCUCAGCUAGAAGAUCCACAUCCUCUACAGAUCCCAAUUUAGGUUCCUCUGCCUGUUCCUCUAAGAGGCCACUGUUUGAACCACUUCCUGAAUCUGUAGCCAAAAAUUGGAAGCAACCCAAAUGUCCAUCAACUAAUGAAGGAAUAAACAAAAUCUGGUACAUUCCUGCAAUGCAUAUCAUUCAGACAUAAAGAUGGACCGAAGUACGGAUACAUGCUACAACGUGUAUGAACUUCGAAAGCAUCACACCAAGUGAAAGAAGCCAGACACUAAAGAUCACGUACCAUAUGAUUCCAUUGAUAUGAAAUGUCUAGAAUAGGAAAUAUAUUUCUGGAGGCAGAAAGCAGGUUGGUGGUUGCCAGGGGCUUCGAGGAGGGCAGUGACUGCUUAGUGAGUACAUGCUUUCCUUUUGGGGUAUGAAAAUGUUUAGAACCAAACAGAGGUUGUGGUUACACAACGUUGUGCAUGUACUGAAUGCCACCGAGUUGUUCACUUUAACAUGUUCAUUGUAUGUAAUGUGAUUUUACAUCAAUAAAAAAAAAUAAU